AAGUGACCACAACAACCAGAACUGUGCUGAUCCAAAGCCAGGACCAAGGAGCUUCAUCUGGGUCUCCCACGCAAGUGCAGGGUCCCAAGGCUUUGUGUUGU
Ochotona curzoniae (black-lipped pika) is the source of this 101-nucleotide long non-coding RNA. RefSeq lists it as uncharacterized. Lineage: Eukaryota; Metazoa; Chordata; Mammalia; Lagomorpha; Ochotonidae. The transcript is spliced from 3 exons. The record is from RefSeq and is a predicted model, not a curated record.